This 610-nucleotide ribosomal RNA is filed under the name uncultured bacterium. RNAcentral describes it as "bacterial SSU rRNA". It matches the Rfam family "Bacterial small subunit ribosomal RNA", at positions 202 to 831 of the family's 1533-position model. The record is from RNAcentral.
AAAAACUGAGGUGGUAUGAGAUGGACCUGCGUCUGAUUAGCUAGUUGGAGAGGUAACGGCUCACCAAGGCAACGAUCAGUAGCCGACCUGAGAGGGUGACCGGCCACAUUGGGACUGAGACACGGCCCAAACUCCUACGGGAGGCAGCAGUGGGGAAUAUUGCACAAUGGGGGAAACCCUGAUGCAGCAACGCCGCGUGAGUGAAGAAGUAUUUCGGUAUGUAAAGCUCUAUCAGCAGGGAAGAAGAGAGACGGUACCUGACUAAGAAGCCCCGGCUAACUACGUGCCAGCAGCCGCGGUAAUACGUAGGGGGCAAGCGUUAUCCGGAUUUACUGGGUGUAAAGGGAGCGUAGACGGCUUGAUAAGUCUGAAGUGAAAGGCCAAGGCUUAACCAUGGAACUGCUUUGGAAACUAUGAGGCUAGAGUGCUGGAGAGGUAAGCGGAAUUCCUAGUGUAGCGGUGAAAUGCGUAGAUAUUAGGAGGAACACCAGUGGCGAAGGCGGCUUACUGGACAGAAACUGACGUUGAGGCUCGAAAGCGUGGGGAGCAAACAGGAUUAGAUACCCUGGUAGUCCACGCUGUAAACGAUCAAUACUAGGUGUGCGGGGAC